UCCUACGGGAGGCAGCAGUGGGGAAUAUUGCACAAUGGGCGCAAGCCUGAUGCAGCAACGCCGCGUGAGGGACGAAGGCCUUCGGGUUGUAAACCUCUUUUAGUAGGGAAGAAGCGACUGGGUUUUCCUGGGAGUGACGGUACCUGCAGAAAAAGCACCGGCUAACUACGUGCCAGCAGCCGCGGUAAUACGUAGGGUGCAAGCGUUGUCCGGAAUUAUUGGGCGUAAAGAGCUCGUAGGCGGUUUGUCGCGUCUGCUGUGAAAACCCGAGGCUCAACCUCGGGCCUGCAGUGGGUACGGGCAGACUAGAGUGCGGUAGGGGAGAUUGGAAUUCCUGGUGUAGCGGUGGAAUGCGCAGAUAUCAGGAGGAACACCAAUGGCGAAGGCAGAUCUCUGGGCCGUAACUGUCGCUGAGGAGCGAAAGCAUGGGGAGCGAACAGGAUUAGAUACCCUGGUAGUCCAUGCCGUAAACGUUGGGAACUAGAUGUGGGGACCAUUCCACGGUCUCCGUGUCGCAGCUAACGCAUUAAGUUCCCCGCCUGGGGAGUACGGCCGCAAGGCUAAAACUCAAAGGAAUUGACGGGGGCCCGCACAAGCGGCGGAGCAUGCGGAUUAAUUCGAUGCAACGCGAAGAACCUUACCAAGGCUUGACAUAUACCGGAAACGGCUGGAAACAGUCGCCCCGCAAGGUCGGUAUACAGGUGGUGCAUGGUUGUCGUCAGCUCGUGUCGUGAGAUGUUGGGUUAAGUCCCGCAACGAGCGCAACCCUCGUCCUAUGUUGCCAGCACGUAAUGGUGGGAACUCAUGGGAUACUGCCGGGGUCAACUCGGAGGAAGGUGGGGAUGACGUCAAAUCAUCAUGCCCCUUAUGUCUUGGGCUUCACGCAUGCUACAAUGGCCGGUACAAAGGGCUGCGAUACCGCAAGGUGGAGCGAAUCCCAAAAAGCCGGUCUCAGUUCGGAUUGAGGUCUGCAACUCGACCUCAUGAAGUCGGAGUCGCUAGUAAUCGCAGAUCAGCAACGCUGCGGUGAAUACGUUCCCGGGCCUUGUACACACCGCC
Molecule: ribosomal RNA, 1059 nt
Filed under: uncultured Cryobacterium sp.
Lineage: Bacteria; Bacillati; Actinomycetota; Actinomycetes; Micrococcales; Microbacteriaceae
Description: bacterial SSU rRNA
Rfam family: Bacterial small subunit ribosomal RNA
Source: RNAcentral